This 256-nucleotide ribosomal RNA is filed under the name uncultured bacterium. Its description in RNAcentral is "partial 16S ribosomal RNA". It matches the Rfam family "Bacterial small subunit ribosomal RNA", at positions 524 to 776 of the family's 1533-position model. The record is from RNAcentral.
GACGAACCGUGCGAACGUUGUUCGGAAUCACUGGGCUUAAAGGGCGCGUAGGCGGCUUGUCAAGUCAGGGGUGAAAUCGUUUCGGCUCCAACCGGAAAAGUGCCUUUGAUAACUGACAGGCUCGAGGGAAGUAGGGGCAUGUGGAACUUCUGGUGGAGCGGUGAAAUGCGUUGAUAUCAGAAGGAACGCCGGUGGCGAAAGCGACGUGCUGGACUUCUUCUGACGCUGAGGCGCGAAAGCUAGGGGAGCAAACAGG